ACACACCCAUUGAUAGGGAGAGUAAGUGUUAAACACUUUGAAGAGAGGUUCCGUUUGGUGAGAGGAACCAAGUGAAAGGCGCUGAAGAUGGCCUUUGAGGGUAUCUUGUCAAUAAGUAGACAAGGUCGGCUGGGCUCGGUCGAUAGAAAGAGCGCUAGUCUAGGCAUUAUCGCCUAUGGCUAGGUCGAGGGAGUAGCUACUACUAUACUUAUUAACAGUAGUACUCUGAACAAAAGGUGGUAACACGAUGCGUCGUCCUUUAC
This 263-nucleotide non-coding RNA is filed under the name Aerococcus urinae. RNAcentral describes it as "T-box sequence". It matches the Rfam family "T-box leader". From Rfam's summary of the family: Uncharged tRNA acts as the effector for transcription antitermination of genes in the T-box leader family. T-boxes are found upstream of many aminoacyl-tRNA synthetase genes and some amino acid biosynthetic genes usually in Gram-positive bacteria. The anticodon of a specific tRNA base pairs to a specifier sequence within the T-box motif, and the NCCA acceptor tail of the tRNA base pairs to a conserved bulge in the T-box antiterminator hairpin. Lineage: Bacteria; Bacillati; Bacillota; Bacilli; Lactobacillales; Aerococcaceae. The record is from RNAcentral.